RNAcentral lists this ribosomal RNA (229 nucleotides) under uncultured bacterium. RNAcentral's name for it is "partial 16S ribosomal RNA". It matches the Rfam family "Bacterial small subunit ribosomal RNA", at positions 568 to 796 of the family's 1533-position model. The record is from RNAcentral.
UGCGUAGGCGGAAUAUUAAGUCAGUGGUGAAAUCCUGCGGCUCAACCGUAGAACUGCCAUUGAUACUGAUAUUCUUGAAUGUAGUUGAGGUAGGCGGAAUGUGUAAUGUAGCGGUGAAAUGCUUAGAUAUUACACAGAACACCGAUUGCGAAGGCAGCUUACUAAACUAUGAUUGACGCUGAGGCACGAAAGCGUGGGGGGCGAACAGGAUUAGAUACCCUGGUAGUCC